CAGUCGAGGGGCAGCGGGGGUGCAGGCUUGCCUGCACCUGCCGGCGACCGGCGCACGGGUGAGUAACACGUAUGGAACCUGCCCGCCACAGGGGGAUAACCCGGGGAAACCCGGCCUAAUACCCCAUGCCGCCCGGACCGGGCAUCCGGACCGGGCGAAAGGAGGAAUCCGGUGGCGGCUGGGCAUGCGGCGCAUUAGCUUGACGGCGGGGUAACGGCCCACCGUGGCGACGAUGCGUAGGGGUUCUGAGAGGAAGGCCCCCCACACUGGAACUGAGACACGGUCCAGACUCCUACGGGAGGCAGCAGUGAGGAAUAUUGGUCAAUGGGCGGAAGCCUGAACCAGCCAAGUCGCGUGAGGGAAUAAGGCCCUACGGGUCGUAAACCUCUUUUGCCGGGGAGCAAUGGCCGGGACGUGUCCCGGUCCGGAGAGUACCCGGAGAAAAAGCAUCGGCUAACUCCGUGCCAGCAGCCGCGGUAAUACGGAGGAUGCGAGCGUUAUCCGGAUUUAUUGGGUUUAAAGGGUGCGUAGGCGGGCUUUUAAGUCAGCGGUAAAAAUUCGGGGCUCAACCCCGUCCGGCCGUUGAAACUGGGGGCCUUGAGUGGGCGAGAAGAAGGCGGAAUGCGUGGUGUAGCGGUGAAAUGCAUAGAUAUCACGCAGAACCCCGAUUGCGAAGGCAGCCUUCCGGCGCCCUACUGACGCUGAGGCACGAAAGUGCGGGGAUCGAACAGGAUUAGAUACCCUGGUAGUCCGCACAGUAAACGAUGGAUGCCAGCUGUCCGGGCCGAAUGGGGCCUGGGUG
This 802-nucleotide ribosomal RNA is filed under the name uncultured bacterium. RNAcentral's name for it is "bacterial SSU rRNA". It matches the Rfam family "Bacterial small subunit ribosomal RNA", at positions 59 to 845 of the family's 1533-position model. The record is from RNAcentral.